GAGCCACAGCAGAGGGCUGAAAGAGCCACAUGUGGCUCCAGAGCCGCGAGUUGCUGACACCUGUGCCAUUCCUUCUCUUACAUCUGCUUUUCACCAAUGGCAGCAGUGAAGUUACCCUGUCUGGAUCUAAAUGGAUUGUGAAGACUGCACUUUCCUAGAAGGAAAAGAAGCUGCUAUUAGAAUCCAGGCAAGAUACGAGUGUCAGCAAGGAGUCAAAUAAAUCAAGAUGGCAGCUACAAUCCUGUAAUCAAAGCCCUGCCCUUUUUACCUACACUGUGAUAUGCAUACUUAAUGGCAGCCCCGUGGUUUCUGGCAAGUGGAUCUCCGAAGCUGUAUUGCAGGCAGCUCUGCUGGUGG
Molecule: long non-coding RNA, 357 nt
Organism: Pantherophis guttatus
Lineage: Eukaryota; Metazoa; Chordata; Lepidosauria; Squamata; Colubridae
Source: RefSeq, a predicted model, not a curated record